AUGGAGUCUUUGUGUGUCGGGGGGGUGAGUGCGUGCGUGUGUGUGUGUGCGUGUGUGUGUGUCGCGGGGUCCUCUGUGGCGGAUAGGCCACCAACGAUGGGGUGCGAGAGAGAAAAUCCCGUAGAGAGGGAAGAGAAGUCGAAGAAGGAUUGGCCGGUGCUGCCCGCUGGCGUCAAGUUCGACCCCACGGAUCAGGAGCUGAUCGAGCACCUUGAGGCCAAAGUGAGUGCUGACAGCGCGAGAUUUCAGUCUCUCAUCGAUUUGUUCAUACCAACCAUCGACAGCGAGCACGGCAUAUGCUACACGCAACCUGAGAAACUUCCAGGUAUCACACUGAGUGGCCUAAGGAAGCAUUUCUUCCAGCGCAAUUCCAGGGCGUUCAAACGGGGCACGUGGACGCGUCGCAAGAUACAGUCGGAGUGCGGCAUGCAUGCGUUAUGGCACAAGACCGGCAAUACCUUGCCGGUGAUGGUCAACGGCCGGCAGACGGGCAGCAAAAAAGGUUCUGGUGCUGCACACCAACAAGAACUUCGACCAACAGAGGACCAACUGGGUGAUGCACCAGUACCACCUCGGGGACCUGGAGCAAGAGAAGGAGCGAGAGCUGGUCCUCUGCAAGAUUUUCUACCAGACGAACACUAG
This 642-nucleotide ribosomal RNA is filed under the name Triticum aestivum (bread wheat). RNAcentral's name for it is "partial small subunit ribosomal RNA". Lineage: Eukaryota; Viridiplantae; Streptophyta; Magnoliopsida; Poales; Poaceae. The record is from RNAcentral.